Small nuclear RNA from Panthera pardus (leopard), 94 nucleotides. The record is from Ensembl. Lineage: Eukaryota; Metazoa; Chordata; Mammalia; Carnivora; Felidae.
AUGCUCCCUUGGGCAGCGCACAUUCUAAAACUGGAAUGACACAGAGGUUACCAUGGAAGAUGACACACAAAUUCACGAAGCUUUCCAUAUUUUU